GUGGGGAAUAUUGGACAAUGGGCGCAAGCCUGAUCCAGCCAUGCCGCGUGAGUGAUGAAGGCCCUAGGGUUGUAAAGCUCUUUCACCGGUGAAGAUAAUGACGGUAACCGGAGAAGAAGCCCCGGCUAACUUCGUGCCAGCAGCCGCGGUAAUACGAAGGGGGCUAGCGUUGUUCGGAAUUACUGGGCGUAAAGCGCACGUAGGCGGACAUUUAAGUCAGGGGUGAAAUCCCGGGGCUCAACCCCGGAACUGCCUUUGAUACUGGGUGUCUGGAGUAUGGAAGAGGUAAGUGGAAUUCCGAGUGUAGAGGUGAAAUUCGUAGAUAUUCGGAGGAACACCAGUGGCGAAGGCGGCUUACUGGUCCAUUACUGACGCUGAGGUGCGAAAGCGUGGGGAGCAAACAGGAUUAGAUACCCGGGUAGUCC
Molecule: ribosomal RNA, 425 nt
Filed under: uncultured bacterium
Lineage: Bacteria
Description: partial 16S ribosomal RNA
Rfam family: Bacterial small subunit ribosomal RNA
Source: RNAcentral